UACGUAGGGGGCAAGCGUUGUCCGGAUUUAUUGGGCGUAAAGAGCGUGUAGGCGGCCAGGUAGGUCCGUUGUGAAAACUGAAGGCUUAACCUUCAGACGUCGAUGGAAACCAUCUGGCUAGAGUCCGGAAGAGGAGAGUGGAAUUCCUGGUGUAGCGGUGAAAUGCGCAGAUAUCAGGAAGAACACCCGUGGCGAAGGCGGCUCUCUGGGACGGUACUGACGCUGAGACGCGAAAGCGUGGGGAGCGAACAGG
RNAcentral lists this ribosomal RNA (253 nucleotides) under uncultured bacterium. RNAcentral describes it as "partial 16S ribosomal RNA". It matches the Rfam family "Bacterial small subunit ribosomal RNA", at positions 524 to 776 of the family's 1533-position model. The record is from RNAcentral.